Molecule: ribosomal RNA, 405 nt
Filed under: uncultured Anaerolineae bacterium
Lineage: Bacteria; Bacillati; Chloroflexota; Anaerolineae
Description: bacterial SSU rRNA
Rfam family: Bacterial small subunit ribosomal RNA
Source: RNAcentral
UGAGGAAUAUUGCACAAUGGGCGAAAGCCUGAUGCAGCAACGCCGCGUGAGGGACGAAGGCCUUCGGGUCGUAAACCUCUUUUCUAAGGGAAGAGCAAGGACGGUACCUUGGGAAUAAGUCUCGGCUAACUACGUGCCAGCAGCCGCGGUAAAACGUAGGAGGCGAGCGUUAUCCGGAUUUACUGGGCGUAAAGCGCGCGCAGGCGGGUCAGUGAGUCGGACGUGAAAGCUCCUGGCUUAACUGGGAGAGGCCGUUCGAUACUGCUGGGCUUGAGGUUGGGAGAGGGGUGCGGAAUUCCCGGUGUAGUGGUGGAAUGCGUAGAUAUCGGGAGGAACACCUGUGGCGAAAGCGGCACCCUGGCCCACACCUGACGCUGAGGUGCGAAAGCGUGGGUAGCAAACAGG